Long non-coding RNA from Vidua chalybeata, 175 nucleotides. RefSeq lists it as uncharacterized. The record is from RefSeq and is a predicted model, not a curated record. NCBI's taxonomy places the organism in Eukaryota, Metazoa, Chordata, Aves, Passeriformes, Viduidae. The transcript has 2 exons.
GGAAAACUACCAUUGGAGAGUGAUGGAAGAAAAUACAAGACAAAAAUCAUGGAGCCUGUGGGUGAGGACACCAGGGAAGGCCUGGCACCCCAAUACCAUCACCUCCCAUCAAGGGCUUGUGCACUUGGGUAUCAGGGUCCAUUCCGUGGAAAUGAAAGCUAUUUGGUUUGUGUCA